This 467-nucleotide ribosomal RNA is filed under the name uncultured bacterium. RNAcentral's name for it is "partial 16S ribosomal RNA". It matches the Rfam family "Bacterial small subunit ribosomal RNA", at positions 36 to 507 of the family's 1533-position model. The record is from RNAcentral.
UACUCCCUCUGGCGGCGUGCUUAACACAUGCAAGUCGAACGGAAAGGCCCUGCUUUUGUGGGGUGCUCGAGUGGCGAACGGGUGAGUAACACGUGAGUAACCUGCCUUGACUUUGGGAUAACUUCAGGAAACUGGGGCUAAUACCGGAUAGGAGCUCCUGCUGCAUGGUGGGGGUUGGAAAGUUUCGGCGGUUGGGGAUGGACUCGCGGCUUAUCAGCUUGUUGGUGGGGUAGUGGCUUACCAAGGCUUUGACGGGUAGCCGGCCUGAGAGGGUGACCGGCCACAUUGGGACUGAGAUACGGCCCAGACUCCUACGGGAGGCAGCAGUGGGGAAUAUUGCACAAUGGGCGGAAGCCUGAUGCAGCAACGCCGCGUGCGGGAUGACGGCCUUCGGGUUGUAAACCGCUUUCGCCUGUGACGAAGCGUGAGUGACGGUAAUGGGUAAAGAAGCACCGGCUAACUACGUG